AUUGAACGCUGGCGGCAGGCCUAACACAUGCAAGUCGAACGAGUGGCGGACGGGUGAGUAAUGGCUGGGAACCUGCCUGAUGGAGGGGGCUAACUCCUGGAAACGGUAGCUCCUACCGCCAACCAUCGCAUGUUUCCUGAUGGGUUUAUCUAGUAGGUGGGGUAAAGGCUAACCUAGGUGACGAUCCUUCCCUGGUCUGAGAGGAUGACCAGCCACACUGGAACGGAGACACGGUCCAGACUCCUACGGUAGGCAGCAGUGGGGAAUAUUGCACAAUGGGCGCAAGCCUGAUGCAGCCACGCCGCGUGUAUGAAGAAGGCCUUCGGGUUGUAAAGUACUUGCAGCGGGGAGGCGUUACCCGCAGAAGAAGCACCGGCUAACUCCGUGCCAGCCGCCGCGGUAAUAC
Molecule: ribosomal RNA, 406 nt
Filed under: uncultured bacterium
Lineage: Bacteria
Description: partial 16S ribosomal RNA
Rfam family: Bacterial small subunit ribosomal RNA
Source: RNAcentral